UACGGGGGGGGCAAGCGUUGUUCGGAAUUACUGGGCGUAAAGAGCUCGUAGGCGGCUUAGCAAGUCGGGUGUGAAACCUCCAGGCUCAACCUGGAGACGCCACUCGAUACUGCUAUGGCUUGAGUUCGGUAGGGGUAAGCGGAAUUCCUGGUGUAGCGGUGAAAUGCGCAGAUAUCAGGAGGAACACCGACGGCGAAGGCAGCUUACUGGGCCGAUACUGACGCUGAGGAGCGAAAGCGUGGGGAGCGAACAGG
Molecule: ribosomal RNA, 254 nt
Filed under: uncultured bacterium
Lineage: Bacteria
Description: partial 16S ribosomal RNA
Rfam family: Bacterial small subunit ribosomal RNA
Source: RNAcentral